UAAGGGCCCGCCACUGGCUUGGACGAGUUUGAUCCUGGCUAGGCUGUUAUCAGCUCCUCUAAGCGGGGAACGGGUGAGUAACACGUGAGCAACCUGCCCUAGGCUUUGGGAUAACCCCGGGAAACCGGGGCUAAUACCGAAUAUGACCUCCGAUCGCAUGGUUGGUGGUGGAAAGUUUUUCGGCCUGGGAUGGGCUCGCGGCCUAUCAGCUUGUUGGUGGGGUGAUGGCCUACCAAGGCGACGACGGGUAGCCGGCUUAAGCACGGCACUACCUGGCACGUGAGACACUUCCCAGAAUCAUUACGGGAGGCAGGCAGUGGGGAAUAUUGCACCACUGGUCGGAAGACUGAUGCAGCGACGCCGCGUGAGGGAUGACUGACUUCCGGUUGUAAGACUCUUUCAGCAGGGACGAAGCGUAAGUGACGGUACCUGCAGAAGAAGCGACGGCCAACUACGUGCCAGCAGCCGCGGUAAGACGUAGGGCGGCGAGCGUUGUCCGGAUUUAUUGGGCGUAAAGAGCUCGUAGGGCGGCUUGUCGCGUCGACUGUGAAAACCGGCAGCUCAACUGCGGGCCUGCAGUCGAUACGGGCAGGCUAGAGUUCGGUAGGGGAGACUGGAAUUCCUGGUGUAGCGGUGAAAUGCGCAGAUAUCAGGAGGAACACCGGUGGCGAAGGCGGGUCUCUGGGCCGAUACUGACGCUGAGGAGCGAAAGCGUGGGGAGCGAACAGGAUUAGAUACCAUCGGUAGUCCACGCUGUAAACGUUGGGCGCUAGGUGUCGGGGGGCCUCUCCAGGUUCCCUGUGCCGCAGCUAACGCAUUAAGCGCCCCGCCUGGGGAGUACGGCCGCAAGGCUAAAACUCAAAGGAAUUGACUGGGGCCCGCACAAGCGGCAGGAGCAUGCGGAUUAAUUCGAUGCAACGCGAAGAACCUUACCUGGGUUUGACAUGGCCGCAAAACCGGCAGAGAUGUCGGGUCCUUACGGGGGCGGUCACAGGUCGGUGCAUGGCUGUCGUCAGCUCGGGUCGGUGAGAAUGUUGGGGUUAAGUCCCGCAACGAGCGGCAACUCCCUCGUUCGAUGUGUGCCAGCAGCGUUAUAGGCGGGCGACUCAUCGAAGUACUGCCCGGGGUCCAAACUCGGACGCAAGGGGGGGAGCAUGGGACGAUCACGUCACUCAUGCCCGUUAAUGUGCAGGGGUUCCCGCACGCGACAGUGGCCGGUACAAUGGGCUGCGAUACCGUGAGGUGGAGCGAAUCCCAAAAAGCCGGUCUCAGUUCGGAUCGGGGUCUGCAACUCGACCCCGUGAAGUCGGAGUCGCUAGUAAUCGCAGAUCAGCAACGCUGCGGUGAAUACGUUCCCGGGCCUUGUACACACCGCCCGUCACGUCACGAAAGUCGGCAACACCCGAAGCCGGUGGCCCAUCCCGUAAGGGAGGCAGAGUUGAUCCUGGCUCAGGCUGGAUCACCUCCUAAGCUGUUCCGGCAUC
RNAcentral lists this ribosomal RNA (1484 nucleotides) under Micromonospora citrea. RNAcentral's name for it is "bacterial SSU rRNA". It matches the Rfam family "Bacterial small subunit ribosomal RNA". Lineage: Bacteria; Bacillati; Actinomycetota; Actinomycetes; Micromonosporales; Micromonosporaceae. The record is from RNAcentral.